Long non-coding RNA from Prionailurus viverrinus (fishing cat), 246 nucleotides. RefSeq lists it as uncharacterized. The transcript is spliced from 3 exons. The record is from RefSeq and is a predicted model, not a curated record. NCBI's taxonomy places the organism in Eukaryota, Metazoa, Chordata, Mammalia, Carnivora, Felidae.
GCAACCCACAAAGCCACACUUACGAUCUUUUGGGAAUCGCCCUAGAAACAAAUGCAAAUGACAAAGGAACUGCAAAGGGCGGAGUGGCAAGUAACAGAAGGCAACUCUUGCUAACAAGCAAAAAGAGAAGGAUUCAAGGGCUACUCAAAUAGAAUUCAAUAGAGUUGAAUUUAGAUCCUUUGCUGGUGUUUCCCUGUGGCUGGACACACACGUAGGAAAUACGAAUCUGAGAUAUACUCCAUAAAG